AAAUGGCCUUAUCCCAUCCUGAACCUAGUUCAGAUUUUCUCUGCUUUGAGCUGCCAGUGUAGUGAUGAGACUUGGACAAUCUUGGGAGCAAUGAAUUAAUGGAGCCAACCUUGAGAGAGCUCCCAGUGACUUAAGGCAGAUGAAGCUAGUCAUAAGACAGUGAGCUGUCCAUUGUCCGUCUUCUCCUUUGCAUUAUUUUCUCUGGAGAAACCAGCUGUUGUGUUAUAAAGACAUUCAAGCAGCCCUACAGAGAGGUCCAGUGGCAAAGGUUAGGUCCCUCAUGCAACAACCAUGUGAACAUAGCAGCCAUAUGUCUUAGAAAGUGAUCCCUAAAAAGCAGUAGUGCUCUCAGAUGCCUGUACACCCCUGCUGUGCAUGCCUCAUGGGAGAGCCUGAGGGCCUGAGCAGCUCACCAAAGAGGAAAAGGAACCGUAAAGACCUUACUUUAAGUGAGGCUGUGGCAUUUGGGGCCAUUUGUUACACAGCACAGAGAACAGGUGUGUGUCCUGCUUCCUGCGCUUUUCCUCAGCUCUCACCUGCCACACCCACAGGUUUCUGUCGGACUUUAUUUUGUCUCUGUGCCAAAACUGCAGUUUCCAUUAUUUUGCCUUUGUAGUGGAUCCUUAUGCCUUACAGACUCACCGCUUCAAAACUGGCAGUAACUGCAGACUUCUAUGCUUCCAUUGAUGUUUUGUUUUGUUUUGAGGUAGUUUUAUUAAGUAGCCCAAGCUGCUUUCAAACUUGAUAACCACUUGCCUCUGCCUCCCAAGUGCUUCCGUUACAGUAUACACAUUCCUGUCUUUGGUUGUUUUUGUUUUGAGACAAUCUCAACGCAGAGUCCUGCAUAGCCUUACACUCUGUAUAGACCUGCACUGUGGCUCUGCUUCGCGUCUACCUCCUGUCUCCUGAUUGGAUGAACUUACGUUUCUCCUCUGUACUUUCUAUGAGAGUUAGGUCUAGGCCAUUCUCACAGACGCAAGUUUAAGCGGCCCUUGCACCUCAGCCUCUAGUAGUUGGGCCUUACAGUUCCAUUUAAAUUCUAUAUGUACAUAUGAACACUCAUAAACACAUACACACAAAAACCUCUUAGCUGGGCAAGGUGGCACAGGCUUUUAACCCUAGUACUUAGGAAUCAGAGGCAGGUAGAGCUCUAAGUUUGAGGCUAACCUGGUCUACAGAGUGAGGUCUAGGACAGCCUGGGAUACAUGGAGAAACCUAUCUGUCUUUUAAAAAAAAAAUAAGUCUCAAAACCAAUUUCUGGAAAUUGUCUUAGACUGUGGCGUUAGAGACAGGCAUUCCUCUAACAUGUUUCUAAAGGGACAUUUCAACAUGUGGGACGCUGAGACAGGAGGAUUGUUUUUUGUUCUGUUUGUUUUUGAGACAGGUCUCACUGUAGAUCAGGCUGGUCUCAAAUCCAUGACAUCCUCCUGCAUCCACUUCCCAAGUGCUGGAUUAGAGGCGUGUGUCACCGAGACAGCCGAGGCAAAGGACUGUCCACUCAAGUCAUUUAGUAAGGCUGUCUCAGUAUUUUAAAAGUUAAUUUUUUAUUUUUAAAAAUGGUGCAGAGUAGCUGGGUGGUGGUAGCGCACACCUUUAAUCCCAGUACUUGAGAGGCAGAGGCAGGCAGAGUUUGAGGCCAGCCUGAUCUACAAAGUGAGUUCCAGGACAGCCAGGACUACAUAGCCUCACACUCUAUAUAGACCUACUCUCUUUCUACUAAGAGAAACCCUGUCUCGAACCCCCCCCCCCCCC
Molecule: long non-coding RNA, 1752 nt
Filed under: Mus musculus (house mouse)
Lineage: Eukaryota; Metazoa; Chordata; Mammalia; Rodentia; Muridae
Description: long non-coding RNA chr7:126938885-126940637
Source: RNAcentral